GACGAACGCUGGCGGCGUGCCUAAUACAUGCAAGUAGAACGCUGAAGAGAGGAGCUUGCUCUUCUUGGAUGAGUUGCGAACGGGUGAGUAACGCGUAGGUAACCUGCCUUGUAGCGGGGGAUAACUAUUGGAAACGAUAGCUAAUACCGCAUAACAAUAGGUGACACAUGUCCUUUAUUUGAAAGGGGCAAUUGCUCCACUACAAGAUGGACCUGCGUUGUAUUAGCUAGUAGGUGAGGUAACGGCUCACCUAGGCGACGAUACAUAGCCGACCUGAGAGGGUGAUCGGCCACACUGGGACUGAGACACGGCCCAGACUCCUACGGGAGGCAGCAGUAGGGAAUCUUCGGCAAUGGGGGCAACCCUGACCGAGCAACGCCGCGUGAGUGAAGAAGGUUGUCGGAUCGUAAAGCUCUGUUGUAAGUCAAGAACGAGUGUGAGAGUGGAAAGUUCACACUGUGACGGUAGCUUACCAGAAAGGGACGGCUAACUACGUG
RNAcentral lists this ribosomal RNA (497 nucleotides) under uncultured bacterium. RNAcentral describes it as "partial 16S ribosomal RNA". It matches the Rfam family "Bacterial small subunit ribosomal RNA", at positions 28 to 507 of the family's 1533-position model. The record is from RNAcentral.